GACAGCAGCCGCCGCGGUAAUACAGAGGGUGCGAGCGUUAAUCGGAUUUACUGGGCGUAAAGCGUGCGUAGGCGGCUUCUUAAGUCGGAUGUGAAAUCCCUGAGCUUAACUUAGGAAUUGCAUUCGAUACUGGGAAGCUAGAGUAUGGGAGAGGAUGGUAGAAUUCCAGGUGUAGCGGUGAAAUGCGUAGAGAUCUGGAGGAAUACCGAUGGCGAAGGCAGCCAUCUGGCCUAAUACUGACGCUGAGGUACGAAAGCAUGGGGAGCAAACAGGAUUAGAUACCCCUGUAGUCCCUGUCUCUUAUAC
This 306-nucleotide ribosomal RNA is filed under the name uncultured bacterium. Its description in RNAcentral is "partial 16S ribosomal RNA". It matches the Rfam family "Bacterial small subunit ribosomal RNA", at positions 507 to 807 of the family's 1533-position model. The record is from RNAcentral.